GAUGAACGCUGGCGGCGUGCCUAAUACAUGCAAGUCGAGCGAACAGAUGAGGAGCUUGCUCCUCUGACGUUAGCGGCGGACGUGUGAGUAACACGUGUAUAACCUACCUAUAAGACUGGGAUAACUUCGGGAAACCGGCGCUAAUCCCGGAUAAUAUAUUGAACCGCAUGGUUCAAUAGUGAAAGACGGUUUUGCUGUCACUUAUAGAUGGAUCCGCGCCGCAUGAGCUAGUUGGUAAGGUAACGGGUUACCAAGGCAACGAUGCGUAGGCGACGUGAGAGGGUGGUCGGCCGCCCUGGAGCGUGGACACGGACCAGAGGCCUACGGGAGGGAGCAGUAGGGAAUGUUCCGCAAUAGGGGAAAGUCUGACGGAGCGACCGCGCGUGAGAGAUGACGGUCUUCGGAUCGGAAAACUCUGUUAUUAGGGGAGAACAAAUGUGUAAGGAACUAUGCACGUCGUGACGGUACCUAAUCAGAAAGCCACGGCUAACUACGUG
RNAcentral lists this ribosomal RNA (497 nucleotides) under uncultured bacterium. RNAcentral's name for it is "partial 16S ribosomal RNA". It matches the Rfam family "Bacterial small subunit ribosomal RNA", at positions 28 to 507 of the family's 1533-position model. The record is from RNAcentral.